RNAcentral lists this ribosomal RNA (253 nucleotides) under uncultured bacterium. RNAcentral's name for it is "partial 16S ribosomal RNA". It matches the Rfam family "Bacterial small subunit ribosomal RNA", at positions 524 to 776 of the family's 1533-position model. The record is from RNAcentral.
UACGGAGGGAGCUAGCGUUGUUCGGAAUUACUGGGCGUAAAGCGCACGUAGGCGGCUUUGCAAGUUAGAGGUGAAAGCCCGGAGCUCAACUCCGGAAUUGCCUUUAAGACUGCAUCGCUUGAAUCCGGGAGAGGUGAGUGGAAUUCCGAGUGUAGAGGUGAAAUUCGUAGAUAUUCGGAAGAACACCAGUGGCGAAGGCGGCUCACUGGACCGGUAUUGACGCUGAGGUGCGAAAGCGUGGGGAGCAAACAGG